CAGUAAGACACAGUACAGCCCUACUCAGACAGUAAGACACAGUACAGCCCUACUCAGACAGUAAGACAGUACAGCCCUACUCAGACAGUAAGACACAGUACAGCCCUACUCAGACAGUAAGACACAGUACAGCCCUACUCAGACAGUAAGACACAGUACAGCCCUACUCAGACAGUAAGACACAGUACAGCCCUACUCAGACAGUAAGACACAGUACAGUCCUACUCAGACAGUAACACACAGUACAGCCCUACUCAGACAGAAAGACACAGUACAGCCCUACUCAGACAGUAAGACACAGUACAGCCCUACUCAGACAGUAAGACAGUACAGCCCUACUCAGACAGUAACACACAGUACAGCCCUACUCAGACAGUAAGACAGUACAGCCCUACUCAGACAGUAACACACAUUACAGCCCUACUCAGACAGUAAGACACAGUACAGCCCUACUCAGACAGUAAGACACAGUACAGCCCUACUCAGACAGUAAGACACAGUACAGCCCUACUCAGACACAGUGUUGAGUGCCCCAGGUUUGAAGUUGUGGGUGGAGAACCAGAGUCUAUGUGUCGAGCUUCAACAUCCUGCUCAGAACAUCUUCAAAUUAUACAACAUCACACUGCUGAAGAAUGUUCAGGAACACAACGCCACGGUUAUGUCAGACAUUGAGUCGGACUCAAAGAGAGUGUUCUCCCAUCUCAGUCCAGACCACACCUACUGCCUCUUGGCCUCAGCCAAUCACUACAGCCUACGCCGUCACAUGACUGCUCAGGGGUGUGUCAACCUGACGAGACACAGGCCAGAUACACAAGGUACUGUACAGCACACAGUCCACCUCUAUUCACACACACAGCCCACCUCU
Oncorhynchus gorbuscha (pink salmon) is the source of this 865-nucleotide long non-coding RNA. RefSeq lists it as uncharacterized. The transcript is spliced from 3 exons. Lineage: Eukaryota; Metazoa; Chordata; Actinopteri; Salmoniformes; Salmonidae. The record is from RefSeq and is a predicted model, not a curated record.